Molecule: ribosomal RNA, 264 nt
Filed under: uncultured bacterium
Lineage: Bacteria
Description: partial 16S ribosomal RNA
Rfam family: Bacterial small subunit ribosomal RNA
Source: RNAcentral
GUCCACGCCCUAAACGAUGGCAACUGGGUGUCGGGGAAGCGAUUCCUUGGUACCGUAGCUAACGCGUGAAGUUGCCCGCCUGGGGAGUACGGCCGCAAGGUUAAAACUCAAAGGAAUUGACGGGGACCCGCACAAGCGGUGGAUGAUGUGGAUUAAUUCGAUGCAACGCGAACAACAUUACCUACCCUUGACAUGUCUGGAAGCCUGGUGAGAGCUGGGUGUGCCCGAAAGGGAACCGGAACACAGGUGCUGCAUGGCUGUCGU